RNAcentral lists this ribosomal RNA (476 nucleotides) under uncultured bacterium. RNAcentral's name for it is "SSU rRNA". It matches the Rfam family "Bacterial small subunit ribosomal RNA", at positions 26 to 513 of the family's 1533-position model. The record is from RNAcentral.
AGGACGAACGCUGGCGGCGUGCCUAACACAUGCAAGUCGAACGCGCUCCAUUCGGUAGCAAUACUGAUGAAGAGUGAGUGGCGAACGGGUGAGUAACACAUGAGCAACCUGCCCCGAAGACUGGGACAACACCGGGAAACCGGUGCUAAUACCGGAUAUCCCUAUCGGACCGCAUGAUCUGAUAAGGAAAUGGAUUCCGCUUCGGGAGGGGCUCGUGGCCUAUCAGCUAGUUGGUGAGGUAACGGCUCACCAAGGCAUCGACGGGUAGCUGGUCUGAGAGGACGAUCAGCCACACUGGGACUGAGACACGGCCCAGACUCCUACGGGAGGCAGCAGUGGGGAAUCUUGCGCAAUGGGCGAAAGCCUGACGCAGCAACGCCGCGUGGAGGACGAAGGCUUUCUGAGUUGUAAACUCCUUUCAGCAGGGACGAUAGUGACGGUACCUGCAGAAGAGCACCGGCAACUACGUGCCAGCA